RNAcentral lists this transfer RNA (81 nucleotides) under Ustilaginoidea virens. RNAcentral's name for it is "tRNA-Ser (CGA) (tRNA-Ser-CGA-1-1)". It matches the Rfam family "tRNA". Rfam says of the family: Transfer RNA (tRNA) molecules are approximately 80 nucleotides in length. Their secondary structure includes four short double-helical elements and three loops (D, anti-codon, and T loops). The record is from RNAcentral. Lineage: Eukaryota; Fungi; Ascomycota; Sordariomycetes; Hypocreales; Clavicipitaceae.
GACGUCGUGGCGGAGUGGUUAACGCGUCAGACUCGAAAUCUGAUCUCUUCGGAGGCACAGGUUCGAAUCCUGUCGGCGUCG